GUGCUCAAUUCAGCAGCAUAUAUCCUAAAAUUAGAAUAGUACAGAGAUUAACAUGGUCCCUGUGCUAGGAUGGCAUGCAAAUUUGUGAAGUGUUCUGUAUUGUU
Molecule: small nuclear RNA, 104 nt
Organism: Manis pentadactyla (Chinese pangolin)
Lineage: Eukaryota; Metazoa; Chordata; Mammalia; Pholidota; Manidae
Source: RefSeq, a predicted model, not a curated record